RNAcentral lists this long non-coding RNA (1134 nucleotides) under Manacus vitellinus (golden-collared manakin). RNAcentral describes it as "lncRNA (ENSMVIG00005010903.1)". The record is from RNAcentral. Lineage: Eukaryota; Metazoa; Chordata; Aves; Passeriformes; Pipridae.
GCUUAUGCCGUGAUCGCGGUACGGCGGACUGUAGUAGUUCAUUCGUCGUGGCGAGCGACCGCCUCCGUCCUGAGCGGGAGCGGCCAGCGCUGGGCUGGGGGGUGUGUGCCGGACCACCCCCCCGGGGCCACGCCGGGGGCUCGGGGACAGACUGACGGAGGGGACGGUGGGGUUUGAGCAGCAGGCGGGGGGUGGCGGUCGGAUCCAUGCUGGGGAGGCUGAGGAAUCGCGAUGCUCCUCGCCCCGGGGCAAGCACUGACCUUCCAUCCCGAGCCCAGGGGCUCGGCCGGCGGCCCUCCGUGUUCUCGGGAGGUGGGCAGGCCUGCCCCAGACUGAGCCCCUGGGCCCUGCCCCGGCUGGCGCCACCACCAUCAAGGGAUUACCCAGGGGGGCCCGCGGACCCGGCGGGCUUCGCCUUCGGGCGGCCACUCGCCUUGAUGAUUUUUUUAUUUUUUUAUUUUUGCCAAAGACGCCGUCCCAGCGCGCCGGGCGGGCCGGGGUUCCAUGGGACAGACAAAGCGGUCUUGGUUUGUCACUACGGCAAGCGUGGGCAGGUGCUGCGGGAAGGGGGCCGGUGGGAAGGCCCAGGGGGAAUGUGUGACCUCGGACCAAGUCCUCUCCAGGCACCCCGUGCCACCACCGCACCCCCUCUCCCACCUUCUGCUCGGUGUGGGCAAAGUCCCCCCAGCCUGGACCCCCCCGGCCCGUGCCCUGACCCCUCCGUUGGGGCUAAUGUGAAGCUUCACCCUCCCCUCCCGAGCCCCCUCCUCUCCUUUGCACACGAGGCCCGGGCGGCGCGGCCAGCACGACUGGUCCCCGCCUCGCAGCCACUGUGCCUUAGCCUGAGCUGGCCACUCCUGCCCAGUUGUCUCCUGAGCCUGUUCUGGUCCCCCAGGGCUGGCGGUGUCCCCCGGAGCUGCCACGGGGUGACUGGUGGUAGUGGCAGCACCCAAAGCACAGCUGGCAGUGCCCAGCAGGGCCCCGGCCCCCCUGUAUCACGUCCAUUUGUACACGGGCUCCUCGCCCUUUUUUUUUUCUAUAGUCGAAAUGGAAUGAGCAAUAAAGUGACAUUAACAUGCGUGGCCUCACGUCCUUCUCUGGGGGGAGGCCUGGCUGGUGCAGGGCUGGUGCUGA